UAGGGAAUCUUGCGCAAUGGGCGAAAGCCUGACGCAGCCAUGCCGCGUGAAUGAUGAAGGUCUUAGGAUUGUAAAAUUCUUUCACCGGGGACGAUAAUGACGGUACCCGGAGAAGAAGCCCCGGCUAACUUCGUGCCAGCAGCCGCGGUAAUACGAAGGGGGCUAGCGUUGCUCGGAAUUACUGGGCGUAAAGGGAGCGUAGGCGGAUAGUUUAGUCAGAGGUGAAAGCCCAGGGCUCAACCUUGGAACU
This 250-nucleotide ribosomal RNA is filed under the name uncultured bacterium. RNAcentral's name for it is "partial 16S ribosomal RNA". It matches the Rfam family "Bacterial small subunit ribosomal RNA", at positions 355 to 622 of the family's 1533-position model. The record is from RNAcentral.